This is a small nuclear RNA of Alnus glutinosa, 126 nucleotides long. The record is from RefSeq and is a predicted model, not a curated record. Lineage: Eukaryota; Viridiplantae; Streptophyta; Magnoliopsida; Fagales; Betulaceae.
GUGUUCGUAGAAAGGAGAGAUGGUUGGCACCUCCCCAGACAGGGACGGGAACAGCCUUCGGGCUUAUCCACACACAUCAGGUUACGGCUACCCACUUCUAUGUUCUUAUUAUAACCCAAUUUUUAU